UUGGAGGGCAAGUCUGGUGCCAGCAGCCGCGGUAAUUCCAGCUCCAAUAGCGUAUAUUAAAGUUGUUGCAGUUAAAAAGCUCGUAGUUGAACUUCGGGGUCUACCCAUUGGUCAGGCUUAAUUGUCUGUACUGGUGAGAUGGAUCUCUACCUUCUGAGGAACUUUCAUGCCAUUUAUUUGGUGUGAUGGGAAAUCAGGACUGUUACUUUGAAAAAAUUAGAGUGUUUAAAGCAGACUAUCGUCUGAAUACAUUAGCAUGGAAUAAUGAAAUAGGACGGACUGAUUCUAUUUCGUUGGUUUCUAGGAUCACCGUAAUGAUUAAUAGGGAUAGUUGGGGGCAUUAGUAUUCAAUUGUCAGAGGUGAAAUUCUUGGAUUUAUUGAAGACUAACUACUGCGAAAGCAUUUGCCAAGGAUGUUUUCAUUAAUCAAGAACGAAAGUUAGGGGAUCGAAGACGAUCAGAUACCGUCGUAGUCUUAACCAUAAACUAUGCCGACUAGGGAUCGGACGAAGUUAAUUUUAUAAUGACGCGUUCGGCGCCUUACGGAAAC
Molecule: ribosomal RNA, 550 nt
Filed under: uncultured Glomeromycotina
Lineage: Eukaryota; Fungi; Glomeromycota
Description: SSU rRNA
Rfam family: Eukaryotic small subunit ribosomal RNA
Source: RNAcentral